This 497-nucleotide ribosomal RNA is filed under the name uncultured bacterium. Its description in RNAcentral is "partial 16S ribosomal RNA". It matches the Rfam family "Bacterial small subunit ribosomal RNA", at positions 28 to 507 of the family's 1533-position model. The record is from RNAcentral.
GAUGAACGCUGGCGGCGUGCCUAAUACAUGCCAGUCGAGCGAACAGACGAGGAGCUUGCUCCUCUGACGUUAGCGGCGGACGGGUGAGUAACACGUGGAUAACCUACCUAUAAGACUGGGAUAACUUCGGGAAACCGGAGCUAAUACCGGAUAAUAUAUUGAACCGCAUGGUUCAAUAGUGAAAGACGGUUUUGCUGUCACUUAUAGAUGGAUCCGCGCCGCAUUAGCUAGUUGGUAAGGUAACGGCUUACCAAGGCAACGAUGCGUAGCCGACCUGAGAGGGUGAUCGGCCACACGGGAACUGAGACACGGUCCAGACUCCUACGGGAGGCAGCAGUAGGGAAUCUUCCGCAAUGGGCGAAAGCCUGACGGAGCAACGCCGCGUGAGUGAUGAAGGUCUUCGGAUCGUAAAACUCUGUUAUUAGGGAAGAACAAAUGUGUAAGUAACUAUGCACGUCUUGACGGUACCUAAUCAGAAAGCCACGGCUAACUACGUG